RNAcentral lists this small RNA (30 nucleotides) under Bombyx mori (domestic silkworm). Its description in RNAcentral is "ovarian small RNA-20798". The record is from RNAcentral. Lineage: Eukaryota; Metazoa; Arthropoda; Insecta; Lepidoptera; Bombycidae.
UACCGUUUCCUUGAUGGCAGGGUCGAGAUU